AAUAAUAAGUGUGAAGUUUGAUUUCCUCCCUUCUGUAAUAAGCAGCCAAUGAGUUCUCACGGAAGGUGAUAAUUCUCACUAAAACUACAGAAUAAAGCCGCCAGUUAAAAUCAAGGAACGGUUGUGCUCGUGGUGACUGAAGGGAGCUACACGACCAUUAUCCGUUUCGAAUUCACCAACUCAAAGACGCUUGCCCGCUCCAUCAUAACUCCGGCGACUGACCCGGAGACAGAGAGCUGCCGAAGCGCCUCCCCUUCCCCCAGGCGAUCCUUCUCCAUCUUGAGGCGCUCCCUCUCCACCUGCAGGCGCUCUGUCUCCACCCUCAAGCGCUCUCUAUCCAGCUGGAGCCGGUUCUUCUCCACAUCCAGGAUUUGUUGGAGAAGAUUGGCUUGGGGGCCUUGUGGUGUCCAGCCAGACGUGAUGGGUUGGGGUGUAGAGUCAGAGUGGAUGGAAUGAGCUGGUGCAGGACAGGAGGUGAUGGGUUGGGGAACAAAGCCAGAGUGGAUGGAAUGAGCUGGUGCAGGACAGGAGGUGAUGGGUUGGGGAACAAAGCCAGAGUGGAUGGAAUGAGCUGGUGCAGGACGGGAGGUGAUGGGUUGGGGUGCGGUGCCAGACUGGAUUGAGUGAGCUGGUGCAGGACAGGAGGUGAUGGGUUUGGGUGAGGUGCCAGAGAGUGCAUCUGCGUUGCUCACUCUUUGGGGUUUCAGGCUGGGUAUCUGUAAAGCACUCUGUGACAACUGCUGAUGUAAAAAGGGCUUUAUAAAAUAAAUUUGAUUCAUUGAUUGAGAGUGGAUUGAGUGAGCUGGUGGUGCAGGACGGGAGGUGAUGGGUUGGGGUGUAGAGCCAGAGUGGAUUGAGUGAGCUGGUGCAGGACGGGAAGUGAUGGGUUGGGGAGCAGAGCCAGAGUGAGCUGGUGCAUGAUGGGAGAUGAUGGGUUGGGGAGCAGAGCCAGAGUGAGCUGGUGCAGGACGGGAGGUGAUGGGUUGGGGUGGCCCUGUUGGUGCUGGCCAAGGUGUUGAUGGUGAGGUGGAGGGUUGCUCCUCCACGGUGACAGAGGGUAAAGCUGACUCCACAGUUCCCUCUGCUGCUGUUGGGGGACCAGAGCUGGAGAUUUCUCCCUGACAGGGACCUGGACAAGACGGAUUCGGUCAAUAUUAUUUCAGAUAUUUUAUAUUAUUUAUCACUUCUUGUUGAAAUUAUUUAUUUUAAAUUGUCAUGUUUUCCGUUGGUAAACCAUUGUGGUUAUGUUUUUUUAAUCCAAAUAAAGAAUACACUUAAAUUA
Molecule: long non-coding RNA, 1282 nt
Organism: Oncorhynchus gorbuscha (pink salmon)
Lineage: Eukaryota; Metazoa; Chordata; Actinopteri; Salmoniformes; Salmonidae
Exons: 4
Source: RefSeq, a predicted model, not a curated record